ACAGCAUGGUGGGGGCAUUUUCUAAUUAGUUCUUUUAAUCUCUCCCAGAUCUCAUGAAACAUCUCUCUAUCCAACUGAGAAAAACUAGUUAUGAUCUUACGGAUUU
Molecule: small nucleolar RNA, 106 nt
Organism: Elaeis guineensis (African oil palm)
Lineage: Eukaryota; Viridiplantae; Streptophyta; Magnoliopsida; Arecales; Arecaceae
Source: RefSeq, a predicted model, not a curated record